CCCUUAGAUGUUCUGGGCCGCACGCGCGCUACACUGACGAAUGCAACGAGCUUAUAACCUUGGCCGAAAGGUCUGGGUAAUCUCCAAAUUUCGUCGUGAUGGGGAUAGAUUAUUGCAAUUAUCCUUCAUGAACGAGGAAUUCCCAGUAAGUGCAAGUCAUAAGCUUGCGCUGACUACGUCCCUGCCCUUUGUACACACCGCCCGUCGCUACUACCGAUUGAAUGAUUUAGUGAGGACUUCGGACUGGGACCGAUGCGGCUUUCGGGCUGCGUCGGUAUUCUGGAAAGAUGUCCAAACUGUAUCAUUUAGAGGAAGUAAAAGUCGUAACA
RNAcentral lists this ribosomal RNA (329 nucleotides) under uncultured eukaryote. RNAcentral's name for it is "partial 18S ribosomal RNA". It matches the Rfam family "Eukaryotic small subunit ribosomal RNA", at positions 1470 to 1796 of the family's 1831-position model. The record is from RNAcentral.